Molecule: long non-coding RNA, 461 nt
Organism: Bacillus rossius redtenbacheri
Lineage: Eukaryota; Metazoa; Arthropoda; Insecta; Phasmatodea; Bacillidae
Exons: 3
Source: RefSeq, a predicted model, not a curated record
GUCCGUUUCUCGCGAGCGUCUGUGCGCGUUUGGGCCCGGUACUCGGCGCCACCCCAUUCGCUCUACGGAAGGUUCGCCGACGGGUGUGAGGUUCGCGAGCGGACUUUCCACUCUCUCCCUUCUCCGUGUCGCGAAGAAGGAAAAAUAAAUAAACAAGUGCGGACGUCUGUACCGACUCACGGGUGUUCAAUCGCCUGCGAAUUAUUGUUUUUUUUUUUUUUCUUUCGAAGGGCGGGCCGGUCCCAGCCCGCACUCUAUCCGACAACUCUGGUCUAUCUUCGUUCGGUGGACUUGAAGAAUAUUUACUACCUGCCUUAUACUUCUUGCGGUCGCAAAUAAAGCUCGCUCGCGGCGGCCGGAUGAGCGAGGGCGGCGCGGCGGCGCGCGCCUGAUCCCGCCGCGUGUCUCGCCGGGCGACACGGGGCCGCCCCGGACCGGGCAUGCCGCUGAGCGGCGGCCGG